This 830-nucleotide ribosomal RNA is filed under the name Mesorhizobium ciceri. RNAcentral's name for it is "bacterial SSU rRNA". It matches the Rfam family "Bacterial small subunit ribosomal RNA", at positions 98 to 983 of the family's 1533-position model. The record is from RNAcentral. Lineage: Bacteria; Pseudomonadati; Pseudomonadota; Alphaproteobacteria; Hyphomicrobiales; Phyllobacteriaceae.
GCAGACGGGUGAGUAACGCGUGGAACCCAUCUCUACGGAACAACUCCGGGAAACUGGAGCUAAUACCGUAUACGUCCUUCGGGAGAAAGAUUUAUCGGAGAUGGAUGAGCCCGCGUUGGAUUAGCUAGUUGGUGGGGUAAUGGCCUACCAAGGCGACGAUCCAUAGCUGGUCUGAGAGGAUGAUCAGCCACACUGGGACUGAGACACGGCCCAGACUCCUACGGGAGGCAGCAUGGGGAAUAUUGGACAAUGGGCGAAAGCCUGAUCCAGCCAUGCCGCGUGAGUGAUGAAGGCCCUAGGGUUGUAAAGCUCUUUCAACGGUGAAGAUAAUGACGGUAACCGUAGAAGAAGCCCCGGCUAACUUCGUGCCAGCAGCCGCGGUAAUACGAAGGGGGCUAGCGUUGUUCGGAAUUACUGGGCGUAAAGCGCACGUAGGCGGAUUGUUAAGUUAGGGGUGAAAUCCCAGGGCUCAACCCUGGAACUGCCUUUAAUACUGGCAAUCUCGAGUCCGAGAGAGGUGAGUGGAAUUCCGAGUGUAGAGGUGAAAUUCGUAGAUAUUCGGAGGAACACCAGUGGCGAAGGCGGCUCACUGGCUCGGUACUGACGCUGAGGUGCGAAAGCGUGGGGAGCAAACAGAUUAGAUACCCUGGUAGUCCCGCCGUAAACUAUGAGAGCUAGCCGUCGGCAAGUUUUACUGUCGGUGGCGCAGCUAACGCAUUAAAGCUCUCGCCUGGGGAGUACGGUCGCAAGAUUAACUCAAAGGAAUUGACGGGGGCCCGCACAAGCGGUGAGCGUGGUUUAAUUCAAGCACGCGCAAACUCCAGCCCUUG